CCUACGGGCGGCAGCAGUAGGGAAUAUUUCUCAAUGGGGGAAACCCUGAAGCAGCAACGCCGCGUGGAGGAUGAAGGUUUUCGGAUUGUAAAACCCUUUUGUUAGAGAAGAAAAUGACGGUAUCUAACGAAUAAGGACCGGCCAACUCCGUUCCAGCAGCCGCGGUAAUACGGAGGGUGCCAGCGUUACUCGGAAUCACUGGGCGUAAAGAGCGCGUAGGCGGGAUAGCAAGUCAGAUGUGAAAUCCUAUGGCUUAACCGUAGAAUUGCAUUUGAAACUGUUAUUCUAGAGUAUGGGAGAGGUAGGUGGAAUUCUUGGUGUAGGGGUGAAAUGCGUAGAGAUCAAGAGGAAUACUCAUUGCGAAGGCGACUUACUAGACCGUAACUGACGCUGAUGCGCGAAAGCGUGGGGAGCAAACAGGAUUAGAUACCCUUGUAGUC
This 440-nucleotide ribosomal RNA is filed under the name uncultured bacterium. RNAcentral's name for it is "partial 16S ribosomal RNA". It matches the Rfam family "Bacterial small subunit ribosomal RNA", at positions 338 to 795 of the family's 1533-position model. The record is from RNAcentral.